This 468-nucleotide ribosomal RNA is filed under the name uncultured bacterium. RNAcentral describes it as "partial 16S ribosomal RNA". It matches the Rfam family "Bacterial small subunit ribosomal RNA", at positions 28 to 507 of the family's 1533-position model. The record is from RNAcentral.
GACGAACGCUGGCGGCGUGCUUAACACAUGCAAGUCGAACGGAAAGGCCCUGCUUUUGUGGGGUGCUCGAGUGGCGAACGGGUGAGUAACACGUGAGUAACCUGCCCUUGACUUUGGGAUAACUUCAGGAAACUGGGGCUAAUACCGGAUAGGAGCUCCUGCUGCAUGGUGGGGGUUGGAUAGUUUCGGCGGUUGGGGAUGGACUCGCGUCUUAUCAGCUUGUUGGUGGGGUAGUGGCUUACCAAGGCUUUGACGGGUAGCAGGCCUGAGAGGGGGACCGGCCAAAUUGGGACUGAGAUACGGCCCAGACUCCUACGGGAGGCAGCAGUGGGGAAUAUUGCACAAUGGGCGGAAGCCUGAUGCAGCAACGCCGCGUGCGGGAUGACGGCCUUCGGGUUGUAAACCGCUUUCGCCUGUGACGAAGCGUGAGUGACGGUAAUGGGUAAAGAAGCACCGGCUAACUACGUG